CUCAAAGAGAGGUUUCUUAUUUCAAAUGUUAGGUGGUAUAUGACGUAACUCACUAAAUAUAAAAUAUUUUAACAAAUUCACAUUAUUCAGUUAUAUAUUCAUGUGAAGGGAAGGACUAUAAAUGAAACAGUUAUGGAAAAGGGUCAUUGUUCAAUAAGAAUGGAAAGUGUUUAUAUUGGGAAUAGAAGAAAGCUUGUAAAACCAUUCAGUUGAUAAAAUUUUACUGUGAGUGACAACUAAAAAGAAACCCCAUUGGGGACUGGGGCCCUAACCCUUUCUUGCAAGAUUCGUUCCAAGAAACUAAGACUAGAACCAUCCGGUGAGGUUUCUGUAUAUUUGCUUUCUCUUUACUUCUUGACACGUAAGCUCCUCAUUUUUUUUGAAUAUUUAAUACGCUGUCCGUGGUUCUGGUGCAUGAUUUUUGUUAUCUUCUAGGGUGUGAUAAUAGGUGGGUUAUGUGAAAAUAUUACAACUACAGUGCCAGUGGAGUGGCCUCCACUCUACUCUUUCUUCAUCCUCUGCCUCUUAUUACAGUUUAUAGAGGUAAGGUUAGACCUCUUAUUACAGUUUACAGAGGCCAAAUUAGAAUUUGUACAUUUAGUAGCUAUUGUAAUUUUAUGAGUUUAUUAAUUUACUUCUAAUGUUUCCCAAAGCAAUUUCGUUGUGCAAUUAAUUGACAAUAUUGUGUAACAUGCAGUUUUAUUAAUAUGUUCUACCGUUGGUUUCUUUUUAAAUGAUGGAGUAGCAAAGAGCUAGAAUGUAAAUAUCAAAAUGAAUUAGGAAAACAUCUAGACUAAUUGUGUUGCAGAAUAAGGAGAAAUGAAAAAAGAUUUAGAUACUUAAGGAGAAACUAAUAAUUGUAAUUAGGA
RNAcentral lists this long non-coding RNA (869 nucleotides) under Olea europaea subsp. europaea. Lineage: Eukaryota; Viridiplantae; Streptophyta; Magnoliopsida; Lamiales; Oleaceae. The record is from RNAcentral.